RNAcentral lists this ribosomal RNA (904 nucleotides) under Curvularia kusanoi. RNAcentral's name for it is "LSU rRNA". It matches the Rfam family "Eukaryotic large subunit ribosomal RNA", at positions 40 to 962 of the family's 3401-position model. Lineage: Eukaryota; Fungi; Ascomycota; Dothideomycetes; Pleosporales; Pleosporaceae. The record is from RNAcentral.
AUAUCAAUAAGCGGAGGAAAAGAAACCAACAGGGAUUGCCCUAGUAACGGCGAGUGAAGCGGCAACAGCUCAAAUUUGAAAUCUGGCUCUUUCAGAGUCCGAGUUGUAAUUUGCAGAGGGCGCUUUGGCUUUGGCAGCGGUCCAAGUUCCUUGGAACAGGACGUCACAGAGGGUGAGAAUCCCGUACGUGGUCGCUAGCUAUUGCCGUGUAAAGCCCCUUCGACGAGUCGAGUUGUUUGGGAAUGCAGCUCUAAAUGGGAGGUAAAUUUCUUCUAAAGCUAAAUAUUGGCCAGAGACCGAUAGCGCACAAGUAGAGUGAUCGAAAGAUGAAAAGCACUUUGGAAAGAGAGUCAAACAGCACGUGAAAUUGUUGAAAGGGAAGCGCUUGCAGCCAGACUUGCUUGCAGUUGCUCAUCCGGGCUUUUGCCCGGUGCACUCUUCUGUAGGCAGGCCAGCAUCAGUUUGGGCGGUGGGAUAAAGGUCUCUGUCACGUACCUCCUUUCGGGGAGGCCUUAUAGGGGAGACGACAUACCACCAGCCUGGACUGAGGUCCGCGCAUCUGCUAGGAUGCUGGCGUAAUGGCUGUAAGCGGCCCGUCUUGAAACACGGACCAAGGAGUCUAACAUCUAUGCGAGUGUUUGGGUGUCAAGCCCGAGCGCGUAAUGAAAGUGAACGGAGGUGGGAACCCGCAAGGGCGCACCAUCGACCGAUCCUGAAGUUUACGGAAGGAUUUGAGUAAGAGCAUGGCUGUUGGGACCCGAAAGAUGGUGAACUAUGCUUGAAUAGGGUGAAGCCAGAGGAAACUCUGGUGGAGGCUCGCAGCGGUUCUGACGUGCAAAUCGAUCGUCAAAUUUGGGCAUAGGGGCGAAAGACUAAUCGAACUAUCUAGUAGCUGGUUCCUGCC